AACGAACGCUGGCGGCAUGCCUAACACAUGCAAGUCGAACGAGACCUUCGGGUCUAGUGGCGCACGGGUGCGUAACGCGUGGGAAUCUGCCCUUGGGUUCGGAAUAACAGUUAGAAAUGACUGCUAAUACCGGAUAAUGUCUUCGGACCAAAGAUUUAUCGCCCAGGGAUGAGCCCGCGUAGGAUUAGCUAGUUGGUGAGGUAAAGGCUCACCAAGGCGACGAUCAGUAGCUGGUUUGAGAGAACGACCAGCCACACUGGAACUGAGACACGGUCCAGACUCCUACGGGAGGCAGCAGUGGGAAUUUUGGACAAUGGGGGGCAACCCUGAUCCAGCAAUGCCGCGUGAGUGAAGAAGGCCUCGGUUGUAAGACGUCUUUUGUUCUAGGGAAGAAACGGUAGAG
This 403-nucleotide ribosomal RNA is filed under the name uncultured bacterium. RNAcentral describes it as "bacterial SSU rRNA". It matches the Rfam family "Bacterial small subunit ribosomal RNA", at positions 29 to 458 of the family's 1533-position model. The record is from RNAcentral.